Molecule: long non-coding RNA, 8018 nt
Filed under: Orbicella faveolata
Lineage: Eukaryota; Metazoa; Cnidaria; Anthozoa; Scleractinia; Merulinidae
Description: uncharacterized LOC110065476
Source: RNAcentral
GCGCUUGCAUCCGGAAUGGACCUGAGUAUGUGAGAGGGCGGGAGCUCGCAAGUUUGAUUGACAGUAACAUCCGGUGUGACCCUCUCACCCCGUAAAAGCAAGACAGGUAGUCGAAAACAAUACUUGCAGACCUAAGAUUUCUUCUAUAUGUUAUAACAUAACAUUAUACUUAAAAAUAUCAGGAAUGGAAAAACCGUGAUCGAAUUGAGGCCGAUUAUCAUUUCAUAAGUCACCGGAAAGAGUAAAAAUAUUUUCCGUCAAACAAACCCACUAAAUGUUAAUUUUAUUUAAAUAUUCCAUCGUUCGCUCAAUGUCUGUGUCUCCGUGUUUUGACUGCGCCGUCCAUCCAGAAAUAAACACAAUUACAAAUCGUCGAGGCAUGCAAAGGUAAUGAUGUUUUGGUCACGUAACCUCUCCAUGUUGCUAGGUUUCGAUCAACAGACCGUCUACCAUAAACAGUGUGUAAUUUCGUUUUGAAAAUUCAAAGGGCAAAAUAUCAAGAAAACUAAAUUAAAAAUUGCGCACUUUUCUACCUAGAUAAAAGCGACAACUUAAAAUCAGUAUUAAAACUAGACAUACAUGUUUGAAUAAGCCGGGUUCGUGUCACGCAACCGGAGUAUUUCCCAAAGGGAAUUUAAUUUUGCCCAACGACAUAAUGCUUUAUACAAGAGCAGAGAUGAUCUGUUACGUUUAUGAUUUUACCACCAAUAUUGAAAUGAAAAAAUAUUGUGAGAAAUCAUAAAUUAAAAAUGCUAAGUCGUGUUAUCUCAAACAUGUAUCAUACUUUCUAUCCGUAUAUUUUUGAAGUGGAUGUCUCUAAAUUCAAUCAAUUUUUUUCCGACAACAAAUAUUAUUAGUGAGGCGCGACGAUCAUGUUUACGAAUGCUUAGAGCAUCCUGUUUUCGCCGUCUCGAGGCACGUACGGCAGGCACCUGCUCCAACCGGGCGCAAACCGCACAAUAGAGCAACCCCACCAGACCGGCCGCGAGACAAAAAUACGAUCGUCGCUGAGUUUCCGUACGUGCCGGGAUUACAUAAUCAUCUUAGUCACAGUCUUCAUUCUGGAACAACGAAGACAUCCUGUGAGCGGCUGCCUCGCUGAAGCCAUGGACCAUUAAAUUUUUAAAGAAAAGUUUGCAAGCCAAUUUUUUUUGUGAAAUUUUUCUCGACUGUGUAAAAUAAAUAAUUUGCCAAGUAUAAUUUGUCAGCUCUGUGGAUUUUUUGUCGAGUAACUGUUUGAUUCGAAACUUUCUGAUAUAUCUCAAUAGUUAACAGAACAAACAGGGAACAAGUUUCGAAUUUAUUUUAGCUUAUUUUAAGGCCAUACAGAAACUUUCCCUUAAAAAAUAUCAACAACCUCUUUAUUUUCUCUUACUGCGAAGUGAUUUUAUGUCCAAUUUUACGUAUUUUUUGCGUUUACAGGAGCGUUACUUAAAUGCAUAGCCGUAAUUUAUCAAGGAGCUCAUUACGUAAUAGCGAACUUAAGGCAGGACCCAUAUUAAAUUUCAGGACCCAUAGGUUCUAUAAAGUAGGGGUUGCUAUGAACACAGUCGUUCAAAAAAUGCCCACAUGGAUUAAAACGGAGAAACAAACCAAUUUCAAUUUCUUCACUUGAUUUUCUCCAAACUCACUUUAGAAUUUUGGUGCAAUUACGGUGUUUGUGAGACUUACAGAAUUUACAGCCAUGACGCGCGGUUUUUACAGAGGACCUUAUAUCCUCAGCCGCUUGAAGUUUAGUAUAUUUGUUGUGUGAAAAAGCAUGAAAAGCUUAGCUAUAACAACAACGGUUUGAAGUCUAAGUAAACGUUGGCCGGCCACAAGUUCGUGAGUCCUCGUUUUAGUGUAGAAACAGAAACUGUAAGUGUAACCGAUUUAACGAACAACAACCGGUUUAACAACGAGGUCCUCGGUAUAACGAACGACAUUCCUCAACCCGGUGAGAGUAAAAUGUAUGGCAAAGAACCUCUAUACAACGAAACCUCGUUACAGCGAACAUAUUUUGCCAGUCCCUUGGCUUUUCGUUACAUCGAGGUUCCACUGUGGUUCAUGUUUGUGAAAAAGAGGGUUUGUGACAUCAAAAGAAGUGUUAGUUGGAGGUUUAUAUAGAAUUCCAAAAAUGAAUUUUUUACUGUUUUAUAUAUUUGGAACGAUGGAACCGAAGAUAAUGAAAUUUAUGAUUCGAAAUUUUUUUCAAAUAAAGGCAGGAUGUUCGACUCAGAAGUCUGUACGUGACUGAAGACAAGGAAGUAAUUCCCACUCAUCAAUGUCUACUUGUUUCUGAAUGUAUCUGGAAUAAAAAUAGAAGCAUUUCUAGUCACUCGGACAUGUUUGCACUGCGUUCCUCACACAUCGGGUUAAUAAUUAUAUUGCAAAUACAAUAAAUGAACGAUAUCUGACCUAUGACACUGUGCAAGCCAUAGGAUAAAUUUCAUAUCACGUCUUAAAGACAACUAUCGGUAGAGCUAUUUUCCUAAUUUGGUCUAUGAUAGGACCUUAGAUAAUUAGGAAGUGCUUAGUCUUUGCAAAGUCGGCUCUUAUUUUGCUUAACGUGGCUUAAUUCAUUAAUACGCUAUUGUAAUUUGUUUCUUCUAACCCCAGUUCCGAACCAACAAGAUAGUUUGCAGUAUUAAUGAAGAGGGCACAAACAGAUUUAGAGUCAAUCUUUAAAAUAAUUAGUUUAUUGUGUUUUGCACUAACAUGACACCUCUUUAUUCUAGAGCAAGAACUAAAAAGUCAUAAACUCGUCGAAUCAGCCUUAAGGCGGUUGAAUGUCACAGACCGAAAUUUGUCUUCCCUUGACAAUGGAAGUCAAUGGAGUUUCGACGAAAAAUCACACUCAAUAGACUGUAGAAGCAUUAAAUAUUAUUAUGUAAAGAUCUAGCUUUACUAUUAGUUGCUUAAUAAAUCAUCCAAGUUUGACUAAUGUGACUUAGCAGUGAUUAAUUUCUUCAUGAGUUAUUUUAGGAAGUUACCUGACUGGGUAGGUCUCUUCAAUGGACGUGAUCUGAAUUUUGCUUCCUCUCUUUGUCGGUGUCAAAGUUCGGAUAUCUUACAUCAGCUUAUGCUUGCAGUCCAAAUUUAUGUCAUUCUUUUUUUAGUAUGUGUCGCCCACCUUUAUACAAGCAUUGUCUUGAAUGUAUUGGUGACUCAGUUAUAACUUUGUUAUUUGGAAUAACCCGGAAACUGUUCAGCAUUCUCUGAGCAUUCUUGCACAGCGAAAUCACAGCCCCAUUAUAAAGUACCUAAGCAUGAUCUAUCGACGCUGAUGGAACGAUUUAAAAGUGUCGUAGUGAGCGAGAGGGUGUGGCGACGCUAGAAGAACAACAUUCCUCAAUGGAAUCUAGUGCUUGUCGCAACACAUUUUCGCAGCCAGCUUGUGACACUGACAGAUUGGAGGACUCAUUAAAUAUAUCUUGCUUGAAGUUGUGAGACUUUGAAUGUUCCAUGAUUUCAGGUGAUAAUUUAAUUAACGAGAUUUGUAUUAUUUCGUUUUCUGAUUGUUUGUUAGUGUUGUGACACGCAUAAGCUCUACCGAAGGUACAUCUCAAAACAAGCUUAAUAUUAUCACGGUAACAGAUGAAAGAACUUAGUUACGUUUUCUGGUACAACCCGAAAAGGGAAUACAGUAUACAAGUAAGAAAUUAUUGGCCUCCAAGACAAAUGAAUCAUUUAUUUCCGAAUGUAUAUUUCAAUAUGAAAAUUAGACCGAAGGGUUUUGAAAAUCGUGUCAGUGCUGUAUCACCGUUGAUAGAGCAAGCUUACUUGCAAAAAUUCAUUUCCGUUACAAAACCAUUAAACUUUUCUCUAGCUUUCUCUUCAGAGCCUUUGAACGUGUAUUUAAACAGCUCCACGUUUGCAAUGGCAAAUGCUUAAACAAUUGUGUUUAACCAUCGGCAUUUAGCCAAAAAGAACUUCAUCGAGUAGCAUGGCUUGUGAGGUUUGCUCUCUGCAAAUAAAAAUCUUAAACACAUUGACUUUAAAAUGCUGUUACAGCUGUUAAUUAAAAAGAAAAACUUGAUUUCACCUGGGCUCGUUUCCAUAAAUUAAGAUUUUACUGACCAAGUUUGAAAGUCCCUAAAUAGCAAAUAAUUGAAAAAGGUAUUUUAGAAUCACAGCCUUUUCACCAAUCGCUAGUACUUAAACAACACAAACGUAUUUAAAUGAUGUGCUUAGCCUGUACCACGAGAUAUCUGGAGAGAGCUAAAAGCAGUGUCUCGUCCAGUAUUCACUGGAAUAAUUUUUCGUGUAAAAGUGCGGAGAACAAGAGUUUGAGCAUCUCUAAAUUGCAAACAAUAUCUAUUUAAACCUCAAUUCAGGCCGUUCCAAACUGCAAAAUGGCAGCUGCAUCAAGAAUUAUCAGUAACACAAAUAAAUGAUUCUUUAAGAACCAAACAAUGUGAAUGCUCCGGGAGAAAUCUCCAGAGAACUCCACGCAGUCAUCGAUUACUUGGACAGUUUAAUUUGUGAAAGUCAUCACAAAAUCUUAAAAGCCCACCUUCAAAAUACUCACAAGGUUUUCUAGCUGUGUAAGCUAAGAGCUCGAUUCCAUCUGUACUGGCUUCAAAUUUUAAAGCAAAACUUGAACGUCCCUAUACUCCAAAUAAUCCGAAUGGAUAUUCUAAAUAUAAAAUCAAGCGGAUGUAAACUUCGUGGGUCACCAGUAGUAGAGUAACUGCUUCAAGAAUCAACAGUAACCCAGCUUAAUGACUUUUUUAAAAUAAUUUGGAUACACCACGACAUAUCUGGAGAGAUCUAGAGGCAGUCACUGGCCCAUUUUUAUUUUUCAAGUCCAAAGUCUGCAAACUAUUCAAAUUCAGAAUACUAACAGGUUUUUUUCAGCUUUUCAAUGAGAUUUCCUUGAACAAAUCUUUCAAUCCAAGCUGAGACAUACCUAAUAACUUGUAAAUAAUCGAAAUGGUAUUCUACAUUCAAAUCACAAGAAGUUUCAUGUGACUACAGAAUCUUAGCGGCUUCAGAAAUCACUUGUAGUAAAAGAGCCAUAAACGAUACUUUUUAAAGUGAAAAUUUGAAAUGUACCAUGAAAUUCGUACGACAGACAAAUGCAGUCACUUGUCCAGUAUUAUUCAAAGCUGAAUGUACAAAAUCUUAACAACCCAAACUUCAGAAUAAUGACAAGAAUGUCUAGCUGCUAUAAAAAGCUGUUGUCCAGCAGUUAUAAAAAGAACUUGAUUUUAAUUCUACAAGUCUCAAUAAAUAAAGUAUUGUGAACGUCCUUUUUUUAAACAAUGAAUUAAAUUUGGCAGAACUUUCAAGUUUUGAGGUCAUGGCUGCUUCAAAACAACAAAUGCAAAGAAAACUCAAAUGAUACUUUUGGUGAUGUCAAUAAACUAUGAGAUAGCUUUUUGAUCUAUACCAAAACUUAAGAAAUUUAAUUCCUGCCUUACAAAAAGUCAAAUCUAACUGUUAACAAAGAUGGACUACUUCUCAGUAAAAAGACCAAACUUCAUAAUGAACCAUUAAUGUUGUUCGAUGAUACAUUCAGUGGGCAGUCUGUUGAAACUGGGUACAUAUGCAUGGGCCUCGAGGCUUACACAAUGUGGAUGAAAAUAAAUUCGACACUGGUUAUAUUUCAUCCAAGACAAUGAUGUAGCUAGUGAUUUGGAUUUGAACGCAACAACAUGUAUACCGCCAACGAGAUAGCAGUACAAUUUACUGUUUGAUUAAAAAAUGGCGAAGAAGGAAUUGCUACAAGUACCUAAGUGGAUCUCCACGUAUCUCCACAAUUGCUUUCCCUUGCAGAGCUAAAACAUCAAGUUUCGGAGUAGGUCCUCUCACAGAAGUCAGCCUUAACUGAGAAGUAGCAUUUAUAUUACACACUAGAGCCAGACAAAGCAGACAUAUUUACGAUUUAUGCUGUUUAACCUGAACCAAUCUCAGUUCAGUUCAAAUUCUCUGUAUUAAGUAGUACACACCAAAGGGUUAGCUUACACUCACUCUCAUUAUAGAAAUCAGUUGAUGGAUUUUAGUGUAACUUGACUGCCAUCAGAUAGUGAAAUUAAAAAAAAUUGCAUUCUGAACACUGGUUUUUUUUUUAUUUAAGGUUUAUUUAAGGUUUAAAACGUAGUGAAACAAGAUGGUGGACAUGUUGCAUGUUGCAUGCUGACCUUCGUGAAGUAAUUUCUAGACAUAUUUUAGAAAUUGGUGCCUUUUUGUAGAUGGUUUAGCUCACAAAAAAGAGUAUUAACACACUGAAUACUUAUUUUCUCUUCUUCUGACGCCUUUCAGAGGCGAAUAAGACAAUUUUGCACUUGUCUUUGGCGAGUGCUAUGAAUACAGUUUGAAUGAGAUCACAUCCGAGGCAACCGCUUGAAUACAACUACAAUACCCGUUGCAUGGCCACUGUUUUUCUGCUCCAAAAACCCUUGCUUUAAAAUACCCUAAAAUUUCCAGCUGUUUAAACCAGCUUUCUUUUAUUCUCAGCUAAUUGCCACUAAACAGUUAACUGCAUUGGUAAUAAAUACAUAUGGUUUUACUGAAUAUGUGUCACUGAAACUUGGCAGUCGAUGAUCAAACAGUCAAUGACUCAACAGCUCUCGGUUAAGCAGGACAAAUUAGACCAAUUCCCAGGCUAUGAGUUUAUUACCUGACAGAAAUCGACGGUUUAAUCUUUCCCUGUCAAAUUUAAAGUAUUAAUUUUUGACCACCAUAGAGUGAAUGAAGAAAGCUUGAGCCUGCUUAGCUAUAAUCGAAUAAACCAACUGGGACCAUCACAGACUGAUAUCACAAUGGGUUGAGCUUCGUAACUUACUCAAGUUUACCUGAAGGAUUACGGCAAACUAACCUUGUCAAUCAGUCCACAUCAGGUUAAAUCUGAAGAGACGUGUCUUUGCCUAGAUGGGCGCCUUUUGAGGUAAAAUGUGUGGCUCGUGCACCAAACCGACGAAUGGUUUCCAAUAUUUUGUUGAGCAUUUCGUUUGAGUUAAGCAAGGACGAAACGCGACUCUAAUGUUACGUUGGUUACUAAUAUCUUCAAGCUGAAACACUCAAGUCAGACAAUAAUAACUCAUUAUAAAUAGGAAAUCCACAACACCAGUGGACAGUAGUUUCUCACAUGCUCAGCUGUCUUCCUUCACUAAAAGGAUUGAUCAUCUUUGUUUACCAAUCGAUACAAAGCACAAACCCCCCAGUUUCAUCACACGACGCACGAUCUUUGCAAAAAUCUCCACAGUUGAUCCUACAUACAACUUUGAGAUUAUAUAUUCCUUAUAAUUUAAAACGAUGUUGCUUAUGAUACAAAAUAUUUGGAAAAGCCAGCUGGUUUCUUGGUUUAAGCCACACAAUAGGUCAGUUCUGCUGUGCAACAAAGACUCACUGGCCAUCCGGUUUUGCUCGAGGAGGGUCGAGGGCGUGCACGUGAACCGAUCCAUACAUACAUAAAGAGUGGAUAGACGCUGUUCUGCACAUAUAUACCUUGUUUUCCAUCCCUGAGCAUAUUAGCGGUUGAGUAAACCCAAUGCCUUGCCAUCGGUUUGUAGCAUUUACGGCUGGUAACACAUUUAUCUUGACCUUAUAUUGAGCAACAGUGAGAAUUGUUUCCAUAUUUCGUUUAGCACGGACAACUUAUCUGCGGACUUUGGAGUGCAAUAUACUCAAUUGAGUUUGCAUGUCAGUAUUUGAAAAACAUCGCUACGUCCGAGAAAUACGUCCAGAAAUUAAGCGAAAUUCAUUUGCCUGCCUGCAAAAGGGGGCUGUUUAGCUCACCAAAAUUCACUUUCAAGGAUUCUAACUGUAUGAAACUCUUUGUGGGUUAGAGAACACCUUCGUCUUGACAGUGGCAGCGAACGCACCUACAGAACUGUCAUUACGCAACGAUAUUGAACGUCUAUGAGACAGCACCUUUUUGUAGUUUACUCAGUUGGGGUUAAGUAGCAUAAUUAUACAAGCUUCAGAUGUGAUGUCGAGUGAAGUCCGCGCGGGCAUCUAGCUGUACCAAGCAAAUUAGUCAGUCUUCGGCAAACUCAUUUAGAACGUUUCACCGAUACCUUAAUGUCCAUUUU